RNAcentral lists this long non-coding RNA (298 nucleotides) under Lactuca sativa (garden lettuce). RNAcentral's name for it is "long non-coding RNA (LSAT_LNC010350)". Lineage: Eukaryota; Viridiplantae; Streptophyta; Magnoliopsida; Asterales; Asteraceae. The record is from RNAcentral.
UUUGGUUAAAGACUACUUUCAAAACAGUUAGGUUUUGGUUAAAGACUGCUUUCAAAACAGUUAGGUUUUGGUUAAAGACUACUUUCAAAACAGUUAGGUUUUGGUUAAAGACUACUUUCAAAACAUUUAGGUCUUGGUAGAAGACGACUUUUUAUACUAGUAGAAAAUAUGGGAUUUUCUAGGAGUUUUCAAAACAUAUACAAACAAUUACAUUGACGAUUUCAAAUGUUAUCAUCAAACUUAUACGAACAAUGACAUUAAAUACUUAUGAACUCACCAACUUAAAUGCUGACCUACA